AUGCAGGAUGAGCGGAUGGUUAAUCAAGUGCCAAUCAUUGCGCAGGCGGUGCGCUUGGACAAGACUGCGGAGGAGACCGUUGGUGGGCCCGAGGAGAUAAGGCUACAGGCUGUCCGGUCGGCCAGGAUCAUGGACGUGCCUUUGGUUUGUUCUUUUGAGGGAUCGCCAGCUGUCGCGGCCCCCACGCCCAACACCCCACCCGAGGGGCCGGUGGGACCAGAGUGCACGGUAGACACGGAUGGUGCAAUGAUUGUGAGGGCGGUGAACCACAUGCGUAUUGGGCCCGUGCCCCCCACAUCGGAUCCGAUGCUGGCCCCACCUGGGCAGAUCGAGGAGCAGGCGAUGCGUGCUGGUUUGGCCGAGACAGGUGCACUGUCCAAGGUGGAUGGUGGGUUGGUCCCAAUGAUUGGCGUAGAUCCCCAGGCAGGAGGGGAAGUGAUGGAAACCGGACAUGUGGCGGCCAUGCAGGAGGGCAUGGCUAACCAGCUCAUUCCGCACGUAACUUGCAACAUGCAGAGCGACUUUGGGGCAUGCAACGCUGGUAUGAAGCCACAGGAGAUCGCGGCCUUUGGUAAAUUGAAGUGGUUUUGCAACACACUUGUACGGAAGCUGGCGCCCCCUCUCCUUCAGGAAGUGCAAUCGUCCCUGAGACUAGAAGCAGAGCCCUUCACGCCGUGCCGCACCACUAGAGGGGCCAAACGAGCGAUGUCCUCGCUCCCCACGAAGGCCACCCAGGCAGAAAACAUGCUCAUGAGAGCACUCGGACUAGUCCCGGAACAUCUAGAAGGUAAUGAUGAUACCAUUGCAGAGCUUGCGGAGAUAUUUGACUCUCCUCUCCGCGAGCAGCACAUCAAGGUUAUUGCGGCCUUGUUCGGGAAGGAUGUUCCACCGGCUUGUGAGCUUAGGGCAGGCAACACGGUGAUGGUGAGCUCAGCUUGA
RNAcentral lists this ribosomal RNA (939 nucleotides) under Triticum aestivum (bread wheat). RNAcentral's name for it is "partial small subunit ribosomal RNA". The record is from RNAcentral. Lineage: Eukaryota; Viridiplantae; Streptophyta; Magnoliopsida; Poales; Poaceae.